This 549-nucleotide ribosomal RNA is filed under the name uncultured archaeon. RNAcentral describes it as "bacterial SSU rRNA". It matches the Rfam family "Archaeal small subunit ribosomal RNA", at positions 328 to 879 of the family's 1478-position model. The record is from RNAcentral.
GGGUGCAGCAGGCGCGAAAACUUUGCAAUAAGCGAAAGCUUGACAGGGCUAUCCCGAGUGCCAUCCGCUGAGGAAGGCUUUUACCCAGUCUAGAACGCUGGGGGAAUAAGGAGAGGGCAAGUCUGGUGUCAGCCGCCGCGGUAAUACCAGCUCUCCGAGUGGUGUGGAUGUUUAUUGGGCCUAAAGCAUCCGUAGCUGGCUAGGUUAGUCCCCUGUUAAAUCCACCGAAUUAAUCGUUGGAUUGCGGGGGAUACUGCUUGGCUAGGGGACGAGAGAGGCAGACGGUAUUUCCGGGGUAGGGGUGAAAUCCUAUAAUCCCGGGAAGACCACCAGUGGCGAAGGCUGUCUGCUAGAACGCGCCCGACGGUGAGGGAUGAAAGCUGGGGGAGCGAACCGGAUUAGAUACCCGGGUAGUCCCAGCUGUAAACGAUGCAGACUAGGUGUUUGAACGGCCACGUGCCGUUCUAGUGCCGCAGGGAAGCUGUUAAGUCUGCCGCCUGGGGAGUACGAUCGCAAGAUUGAAACUUAAAGGAAUUGGCGGGGGAGCAC